This 440-nucleotide ribosomal RNA is filed under the name uncultured bacterium. Its description in RNAcentral is "partial 16S ribosomal RNA". It matches the Rfam family "Bacterial small subunit ribosomal RNA", at positions 338 to 795 of the family's 1533-position model. The record is from RNAcentral.
CCUACGGGUGGCAGCAGUGGGGAAUAUUGCACAAUGGGGGAAACCCUGAUGCAGCGACGCCGCGUGAGUGAAGAAGUAUUUCGGUACGUAAAGCUCUAUCAGCAGGGAAGAAAAUGACGGUACCUGACUAAGAAGCCCCGGCUAACUACGUGCCAGCAGCCGCGGUAAUACGUAGGGGGCAAGCGUUAGCCGGAUUUACUGAGUGUAAAGGGAGCGUAGACGGCAGCGCAAGUCUGGAGUGAAAUCCCCUGGCUUAACCAUGGAACUGCUUUGGAAACUGUGCAGCUAGAGUGCAGGAGAGGUAAGCGGAAUUCCUAGUGUAGCGGUGAAAUGCGUAGAUAUUAGGAGGAACACCAGUGGCGAAGGCGGCUUACUGGACUGUAACUGACGUUGAGGCUCGAAAGCGUGGGGAGCAAACAGGAUUAGAUACCCCUGUAGUC